RNAcentral lists this non-coding RNA (148 nucleotides) under Gorilla gorilla gorilla (western lowland gorilla). The record is from Rfam by way of RNAcentral. Lineage: Eukaryota; Metazoa; Chordata; Mammalia; Primates; Hominidae.
GCUGGGUGUGGUGGCGCACACCUGUAAUCCCAGCUACUCGGGAGGCUGAGGCAGGAGAAUUGCUUGAACCUGGGAGGCGGAGCUUGCAGUGAGCCGAGAUCGUGCCACUGCACUCCAGCCUGGGUAACAAAGCGAGGCUCCGUCUCAA